CGAAAGCCUGACGGAGCAACGCCGCGUGAGGGAUGGAGGCCUUUGGGCUGUAAACCUCUUUUCUCAAGGAAGAAGAUCUGACGGCACUUGAGGAAUAAGCCACGGCUAAUUCCGUGCCAGCAGCCGCGGUAAUACGGGAGUGGCAAGCGUUAUCCGGAAUUAUUGGGCGUAAAGCGUCCGCAGGCGGCCGUUUAAGUCUGUUGUUAAAUCGUGGAGCUCAACUCCAUCACGGCAAUGGAAACUGUUCGGCUUGAGUAUGGUAGGGGCAGAGGGAAUUUCCGGUGUAGCGGUGAAAUGCGUAGAUAUCGGGAAGAACACCAGUGGCGAAAGCGCUCUGCUGGGCCAUUACUGACGCUCAUGGACGAAAGCCAGGGGAGCGAAAGGGAUUAGAUACCCCUGUAGUCCUGGCCGUAAACGAUGAACACUAGAUGUUGGGGGAAUCGACCCCCUCGGUGUCGUAGCUAACGCGUUAAGUGUUCCGCCUGGGGAGUACGCACGCAAGUGUGAAACUCAAAGGAAUUGACGGGGGCCCGCACAAGCGGUGGAGUAUGUGGUUUAAUUCGAUGCAACGCGAAGAACCUUACCAAGGCUUGACAUCCUGCGAAUCUCUAAGAAAUUAGAGAGUGCCUUCGGGAACGCAGUGACAGGUGGUGCAUGGCUGUCGUCAGCUCGUGUCGUGAGAUGUUGGGUUAAGUCCCGCAACGAGCGCAACCCACGUUUUUAGUUGCCAGCAUUCAGUUGGGCACUCUAGAAAGACUGCCGGUGACAAACCGGAGGAAGGUGUGGACGACGUCAAGUCAUCAUGCCCCUUACGCCUUGGGCUACACACGUACUACAAUGCUGCGGACAAAGAGUAGCGAUCUUGCGAAAGUUAGCUAAUCUCAUAAACCGUGGCUCAGUUCAGAUCGUAGGCUGCAACUCGCCUACGUGAAGGAGGAAUCGCUAGUAAUCGCAGGUCAGCAUACUGCGGUGAAUACGUUCCCGGGCCUUGAACACACCGCCCGUCACACCAUGGAAGUUGGCCAUGCCCGAAGUCGUUACUCUAACCUUUUGGAAGAGGGCGCCGAAGGCAGGGCUAAUGACUGGGGUGAAGUCGUAACAAGGUAGCCGUAGCGGAAGCUGCGGCUGGAUCACCUCCUAA
This 1141-nucleotide ribosomal RNA is filed under the name Candidatus Synechococcus spongiarum. RNAcentral describes it as "bacterial SSU rRNA". It matches the Rfam family "Bacterial small subunit ribosomal RNA", at positions 376 to 1533 of the family's 1533-position model. Lineage: Bacteria; Bacillati; Cyanobacteriota; Cyanophyceae; Synechococcales; Synechococcaceae. The record is from RNAcentral.